Molecule: transfer RNA, 56 nt
Filed under: Mansonella ozzardi
Lineage: Eukaryota; Metazoa; Nematoda; Chromadorea; Rhabditida; Onchocercidae
Description: tRNA-Thr
Source: RNAcentral
GCUGUUUAAGUUUUUUUUUAAAAUGCCUGAUUUGUAAUUAGGAGAAUUUUUCAGUU